UCCAUCAGUCCUUUGUGCCUAAAUCUAACCAACCACGGAAGGCACGACACAAUAUCAACCAAUCAGAAGCAACGCAAGGCGGAUCUUGGCAUCUCUAACUUUCUUUCACACACAACAGCGCUGCCAUUUAAAACCCACUUGACGUUCUCCUGCUUGCUAAAGAGUGGACAGCAGCUGCCAGGGAAUACACGGUGUCCUUCUGCAGAGCUUCCUCUAUUAAUCGUCUUCGGGCUCCUCACCUCUGCCGUGAUGUCCAUAGACGCUGCUCAGCCCAGCUCUGUCACCCACUCGCCUGGUUCUGACAGCACCACGCGGGGGCGCAGGGGUACAUUUUGG
Acanthopagrus latus (yellowfin seabream) is the source of this 336-nucleotide long non-coding RNA. RefSeq lists it as uncharacterized. The transcript is spliced from 3 exons. The record is from RefSeq and is a predicted model, not a curated record. Lineage: Eukaryota; Metazoa; Chordata; Actinopteri; Spariformes; Sparidae.